CACGCUUAGACAGGUCAUGGGAACACAUUAAAAAGUAGAAGGAAGAAAAAUAUUAAUUAUUCAGAGACAAUAAUUGUUAAAAUAAUCUAUUUUUUCCCAAAGUUUUUUCUUCUAGAUGCAUAGAUUGUUUUUCCAAAUUGAGAUCAUAUUGCAUGUCCAGUUCUGAGUGCUACUUUUUUUUAAAACUUGUAUGCUAACAUAAGCAUUUUCUUCUGAAUACAAACUAUUUACAAACAUUAUUUUUCAUGGUCCUGUCAUCAUUACACAGAUGCAUUCUGGUUUAAUCAGAUAUUUCUCUAUUGUCAAACACUCGAAGAUGUAUAUACGUUUUUUUUGAAUUAGAAAUAAUACUGUAAGAACUUCUUUGUCUAUAAGACUUUUUUUCUAUUUAUUCUUAAUUCCUUCAGAUAAAAUUACAAAACUGCAAUUCCUAGGUCUAAAGAUACUAAUUUACUUUUGUUUUUUUCCCCCCAGAUAUUUAAACUAAUACUCCCUGGAAUUAGGACAUCUGUGCUGUCUCCAGGACACCAGAGCUCUCCCGAAGGAGGUGCCUCACUUAUUAACAUCGUAACUCACGUAAGUUGCUUGGAGUCACCACACAUGGAAAAUUGCAUUCUGCAAAGUGUUGAAGCUGCAAAGUCACCAGCUGAGUCGAUAGACUUUUAUUUUAACGAUGUUUGUGAUCAAUAUUUAAGCAGGAUUGACCGAGGCUGCUGCACCUCUCUUCUUCCAGCUGCUUGUGAAAGAUAAAAUAUUUACUUGCGGGAGGGGUCAGCGGGGGGAGUUACAAUGGUUUGAGGCCAAGGGGGUAGUUUAAGGGUAGUAUAGAGCCAGAGUGCCACAGAGCAUUAGCAUCAAGCUCUGAUGGGCCCUGAAGUCUCUCAGGGCCAAAGUGGCUUUUGUUCAGACAUUCUGGGCAGGUUAUGAGAGAAUGAGAAUUUACAGAAAGAUUUGGUCACUAGUAGUAUAAAC
Molecule: long non-coding RNA, 972 nt
Filed under: Callithrix jacchus (white-tufted-ear marmoset)
Lineage: Eukaryota; Metazoa; Chordata; Mammalia; Primates; Cebidae
Description: lncRNA (ENSCJAG00000071067.1)
Source: RNAcentral